This 2198-nucleotide long non-coding RNA is filed under the name Homo sapiens (human). RNAcentral's name for it is "HSALNT0190930". The record is from RNAcentral. Lineage: Eukaryota; Metazoa; Chordata; Mammalia; Primates; Hominidae.
UUAAAUUAUGACAUGCCAGGCUUCUACAAAGUCCACAUUUCAAGGCGUUUCUGCGUUUGGCCAAAUGAGAUGCUAGACUCUCAUUUCAAUGCAUUUUUGCGUCUUUAUUUACUUCAAAUUAGUAAGAAAUGUUGAAACCUAGAGUCAUCCUAAACUAUUUCUUUAGCUCUGAUCCCCCCUCAAGCAGCAAACAAAAUUACAACACAAUGUUGUAAGUGCUAUUCUGAAGAUGUGCUUUGCAAGGUGACUCUAAGCCAGCCUAGAAGUGGAGGGAUCAAGGAAGGGUUGCUGGAAGAGGUGACACCUGAGCUGAGUCUUAAAGGAUGUUUUCUCAAGGCUCACCUCCUCUGCAGAGUGCAGACCUCCACGUCGCUGCACUUUGCACACGUCUCCAUGAUCGCUUGCAUUGCACUAAUUGUCUUUGAUAUGUAUCUUCCUUCCUAGUUUCUAAAUUGCUAGGGAGAAACUAUGAGUUUUAUUUAUCAUUACACCUCAGCCAUGACUGCAUGACUAGCAGAACAUUCAAUAAAUAUUUAUAGAAUCGAUUGGUUUUCAUUUUAGUUCAUAACUCACAGACGUAGUGAAGGACAUCCAUUCUUAUGAAUUCUCAUGAUGAACAUUAAUUCACAGCACAGUUCUGCAUCUGCUUUUGAGUUUGUUGUUGUUGUUGUUGUUGUUGUUGUUUUGAGACAGAGUCUCACUGUCACCCAGGUUUGAGUGCCAUGGCACGAUCUUGGCUCACUGUAACCUCCACCUCCCGGGUUCAAGCGAUUCUCCUGCCUCAGACCCAAGUAGCUGAGAUUGCAGACGUGCGCCACCAAGCUCGGUUAAGUUUUGUAUUUUUAGUAGAGACAGGGUCUCACUAUGUUGGCCAGGCUGGUCUCAAACUCCUGACCUCAGGUGAUCGGCCCGCCUCGGCCUCCCAAAGUGCUGGGAUUACAGGCAUGAGCCAAUACGCCCGGCCUAUUUUUGAGAUUUUCUGCUGCUACUCCAGCUUAGCCUGACAGAGCUUUCACUUUUUGUUCCUACCCCUUCGUGUGCAUCUGAACAAUCCACAAGCCUCACGAACUCCUGUGGCUUCCCUCCCUUCGAGCUGUAUCCACCAUGACCUCUUGACCAGGGCUGAGGGAGAAGGAGGAGGGUCGUGCCACUAUCCUAGCACCCUCUGUCAAGAGCCACAGUCAUCAGAACCAUGGAGUGACUGACUGGGCCUAGGUGCUCUCUGAUGGUGGGAAUCCACUAAUAAGAGGUGUCCAGUUCUUCUAGCAAACUUGUCAGUGCUCAUGUCUUCCAUGGGUUGUGCCCUGAAUCAAUGCAUUUAUUAAUUCUUUCAAAAUGCAAAAUAAAAAUUAUGUGUUGAGCCUCUACUAGGUGCCAAGAGAUAUCUUGUCUAUGCCCCUUACCCCCAUCCCUUGCCCCCCCUACAAACUCUUACCGUUAUGGAGCUUAGAUUCACAUAGGAAAUUGGCUCAGCCCAGGUUCCCCAGAAGAUAGAGCAUGAGGAUAAGUUUCUGUGCUGAAGCUCUAUUAGGGAAGAGUGAGAGUGAUGGAAAAAAGAAAUUAGGUCAACCAGGAUGGGGAGCAAGUUCAUGGCAAUGCAUAAGUGAUCUAGCCAGUGCUUUAUGAAGAGAGACAGCCAGCCUCUUGGCCAUGUAGGAUGUCUCCACAAAGGCUAUGCAGAAGCAUGCCUUGGGUCAGACCAGGGGAAGGAGAGAGGGGAAUGAAAGUUAGAUGCCAGCUUCCUCGCCUGCUCUAGGAGGAGUUAACUUCUUCAACCUCUGGAUGGUACCUGCUCUCUUUAGCAGCCAAGGGGAAGGUAAAUUCCACAACCUAUUCCAUGGCACUUUAUCUGAGUCCAGAGUGGAAGAAAGAGCCAGAGAUGAUCACUGCAGUGGCAGCAGUGGAGCAAGACAGACCAAGAGAAUCUGAGAUGGUUCCCAUGAUGAUACAGAGAUUUAUUGUCUAUUGUAAUAAAAAAAAACUUAUUGUUAUCAAAAAUGGCUAACAGCAAGGUAGGUUCAUCAAUAUAACAAACAUAUCACUCUGGUGGGAGAUGCUGAUCAUGGGGUAGUCUAUGCAUCCAUGGGACAGAGGGUGUUUAUGGGAAAUCUCUGUACCUUCUGUUCAGUUUUGCUGUAAACCUAACACGCCCUAUUUAUAAAAUGGCUAACAAGAUAAAAUGCUACGAUAGUCACGAU